UCCAGACUCCUACGGGAGGCAGCAGUGAGGAAUAUUGGUCAAUGGGCGAGAGCCUGAACCAGCCAAGUCGCGUGAAGGAUGACGGCCCUACGGGUUGUAAACUUCUUUUGUCAGGGAGCAAUUGGGUCCACGCGUGGGCUUAGCGAGAGUACCUGAAGAAAAAGCAUCGGCUAACUCCGUGCCAGCAGCCGCGGUAAUACGGAGGAUGCGAGCGUUAUCCGGAUUUAUUGGGUUUAAAGGGUGCGUAGACGGAGUGUUAAGUCGGGGGUAAAGGCCGGGGGCUCACCCCGGGGGAGCCGUUGAAACUGGCUGUCUUGAGAUGUCGAGAGGUAUGCGGAAUGCGCAGUGUAGCGGUGAAAUGCUUAGAUAUUGCGCAGAACUCCGAUUGCGAAGGCAGCAUACCGGCGGCGAUCUGACGCUGAGGCACGAAAGCGUUGGUAUCGAACAGGAUUAGAUACCUCAGUAUU
Molecule: ribosomal RNA, 467 nt
Filed under: uncultured bacterium
Lineage: Bacteria
Description: bacterial SSU rRNA
Rfam family: Bacterial small subunit ribosomal RNA
Source: RNAcentral